This 623-nucleotide ribosomal RNA is filed under the name Shewanella sp. UST010723-014. RNAcentral's name for it is "bacterial SSU rRNA". It matches the Rfam family "Bacterial small subunit ribosomal RNA", at positions 388 to 1004 of the family's 1533-position model. Lineage: Bacteria; Pseudomonadati; Pseudomonadota; Gammaproteobacteria; Alteromonadales; Shewanellaceae. The record is from RNAcentral.
GCAGCCUGCCGCGUGUGUGAAGAAGGCCUUCGGGUUGUAAAGCACUUUCAGCGAGGAGGAAAGGUUAGUAGUUAAUACCUGCUAGCUGUGACGUUACUCGCAGAAGAAGCACCGGCUAACUCCGUGCCAGCAGCCGCGGUAAUACGGAGGGUGCGAGCGUUAAUCGGAAUUACUGGGCGUAAAGCGUGCGCAGGCGGUUUGUUAAGCGAGAUGUGAAAGCCCCGGGCUCAACCUGGGAACCGCAUUUCGAACUGGCAAACUAGAGUCUUGUAGAGGGGGGUAGAAUUCCAGGUGUAGCGGUGAAAUGCGUAGAGAUCUGGAGGAAUACCGGUGGCGAAGGCGGCCCCCUGGACAAAGACUGACGCUCAGGCACGAAAGCGUGGGGAGCAAACAGGAUUAGAUACCCUGGUAGUCCACGCCGUAAACGAUGUCUACUCGGAGUUUGGUGUCUUGAACACUGGGCUCUCAAGCUAACGCAUUAAGUAGACCGCCUGGGGAGUACGGCCGCAAGGUUAAAACUCAAAUGAAUUGACGGGGGCCCGCACAAGCGGUGGAGCAUGUGGUUUAAUUCGAUGCAACGCGAAGAACCUUACCUACUCUUGACAUCCAGAGAACUUUCCAGA